UACAGAGGUCUCAAGCGUUGUUCGGAUUCAUUGGGCGUAAAGGGGGCGUAGGCGGCGCGGUAAGUCGGGUGUGAAAUCUCGGAGCUUAACUCCGAAACUGCAUUCGAUACUGCCGUGCUUGAGGACUGGAGAGGAGACUGGAAUUUACGGUGUAGCGGUGAAAUUCGUAGAUAUUCGCAAGAACACCAGUGGCGAAGGCGGCUCACUGGCCCGAUACUGACGCUGAGGCACGAAAGCGUGGGGAGCAAACAGG
RNAcentral lists this ribosomal RNA (253 nucleotides) under uncultured bacterium. RNAcentral's name for it is "partial 16S ribosomal RNA". It matches the Rfam family "Bacterial small subunit ribosomal RNA", at positions 524 to 776 of the family's 1533-position model. The record is from RNAcentral.